This 473-nucleotide ribosomal RNA is filed under the name uncultured bacterium. RNAcentral describes it as "partial 16S ribosomal RNA". It matches the Rfam family "Bacterial small subunit ribosomal RNA", at positions 29 to 507 of the family's 1533-position model. The record is from RNAcentral.
ACGAACGCUGGCGGCGUGCUUAACACAUGCAAGUCGAGCGGUAAGGCUCCUUCGGGAGUACACGAGCGGCGAACGGGUGAGUAACACGUGAGUAAUCUGCCCUUCACUUCGGGAUAACCACCGGAAACGGUGGCUAAUACCGAAUACGACCAGUCUUCGCAUGAGGUGCUGGUGGAAAGUCUUUUCGGUGAAGGAUGUGCUCGCGGCCUAUCAGCUUGUUGGUGGGGUAAUGGCCUACCAAGGCUUCGACGGGUAGCCGGCCUGAGAGGGUGACCGGCCACACUGGGACUGAGACACGGCCCAGACUCCUACGGGAGGCAGCAGUGGGGAAUAUUGGACAAUGGGCGAAAGCCUGAUCCAGCAACGCCGCGUGAGGGAUGACGGCCUUCGGGUUGUAAACCUCUUUCAGUACCGACGAAGAGCCCUGUCGGGUGGUGACGGUAGGUACAGAAGAAGGACCGGCCAACUACGUG